Molecule: RNA transcript, 1727 nt
Organism: Salvia splendens (bonfire salvia)
Lineage: Eukaryota; Viridiplantae; Streptophyta; Magnoliopsida; Lamiales; Lamiaceae
Gene name: protein RER1A
Exons: 5
Source: RefSeq, a predicted model, not a curated record
CGAAAUGCGAAUUAGCAAAGCAGAAGUGGUUUACUGUUUUCCAUCGUCACUGUUCAAUAAUUAUCUUUUCCCGAAACAAAUAUAAAUAGAGUAAUUAAUAAAUAGGCAAAAAAUAACUGAAAAUGAAUACCGGCGGCGGAGCAGGUGUUGCCGACGAGAACACGAGCAGCUCCUCCCUCAUGCAACUGAGCCACGAGGUGUGGCGGCGGUACCAGCAUCUCCUCGACAAAUCGACGCCGCUGGUGCUGUACCGGUGGAUCUUCCUGGCGGCGAUCGCGGCGGUAUUCGCGCUGCGCAUCUACUUCGUCCAGGGUUUCUACAUCAUCACCUACGGCCUAGGAAUCUACAUCCUGCAGCUUCUGAUCGCAUUCCUCUCGCCGCAGGUGGACCCCGAGAUCCAGGGGCUCACCGACGGCCCCGCCCUCCCCACGCGCGCCACUGAGGAGUUCCGCCCCUUUGUCCGCCGCCUACCUGAGUUUAAGUUCUGGCAUUCGCUUAUAAAGGCUUUUUGUGUUGCUCUAUUGUUGACAUUCUUCAGUGCCUUUGAUGUGCCCGUAUUUUGGCCAAUUCUUAUGUUUUACUGGUCAGUUCUGUUCUUUUUAACUAUGAGGAGGCAAAUCAUGCAUAUGAUCAAGUAUAAAUAUGUCCCUUUCACAUUUGGGAAGCAGCGUUAUGGGAAGAAGGCAGCUCCUACUGACGAGGCAAACACCAGAAGACCAUAGCUCUUAAGAUGAGAAAUAAACUUUAGCUUGGCAGGAGUUCUUCUUUGAAAUGCUCUAUCCUAAAAGAUAAGGGAAGGUAGUAGGGAGGUUGAUAUUAUUGGAGGGAUGGAAGGGGCCAUGUCAUUGAUGUCAUUGUAGAAAGGGGUGGCACACUCUUCUACCUUGCUAUUCCUACUUGUCAAGUCUCUGUACUAGCCUCCAUUUGGGUGCAUUAUUUCACCUUGGCUUGUCAUAUCAGAAUGUUCCAUAUUAUAUAAACUUCAGUAAUCAAAGACGUUUAGUCUUGCUAAUUGCCAUCUAAAAUAAUAUGCUGACUGCCAGUGCUAUGCAACCAAUACCAUGUAUGCUAUUAUGUAUGAGGGAUGUAUCUGGGCAUCUAGUCUCUUCCCAUACUGUCUACAGAGCAACCAUACUUACAUCAAUGGGAUGGUAAAAGCUUAAACUCAGAUACAUGAUGUAACAUCUUCUGGACAGAAAGGCACUUGAGUUUUUCUACGUCCUGGUGAUAAGCCUGUUGGCGACGGCAUUGUUUGAAGCCAUAUAUGUAAAUCCAGAUUGUGGGAAUAAACCAGCUAGGAAUAAGAUGAGGAUUGUACCCAAAAGAGCAGCACUCAGAAUGUGUAUGGGGCCUUUGAUGGAUGCUCUCACCACUAACUCAAGGAUUGGGUGGAGGACCACCAUUUAUUGGUCUCGUGCGACCGGCCCCAACUUCCCCUCUCUAGAAUUUGGAAUGUUGCUCAUCUCAAUUUUUAGCUCUCCAAAUUGUGUUUGUUUACUCCGUUUUUUUGUAUUCUAAUGCCUCACUUUGAUGCCUCUCUAAAAAUCAAUUAUUGGUUUAGGUCUUUAAGUGUCUCUAUCCUUCCUUCCGCAUGCAGCGCCGACAAUUUUAUCUAUCCUAGCUACUACAUCUUCAUCCCGGGGUUGUUGAAAUUUAGUUGAGUUCAACAUUUGAGUUGUUAUUCUGUAAUAUAGUUUGUGUUAUAUAUACAAAUUUGAACUUUAAAA